Culex quinquefasciatus (southern house mosquito) is the source of this 635-nucleotide long non-coding RNA. RefSeq lists it as uncharacterized. The record is from RefSeq and is a predicted model, not a curated record. NCBI's taxonomy places the organism in Eukaryota, Metazoa, Arthropoda, Insecta, Diptera, Culicidae. The transcript is spliced from 3 exons.
CUUUAAUGUGCCACGACUCUAAAUCAACAUCUAGAAAUGCUUCGAAACUUUGACAUUUCUUUAAAUGUUUCAAACCAUUAAAUCAACAUUAGUAAAAGCAAUUAAAGUUUUGCGGAUGCAUUGCAAAACGUAAAUAACUUCAAACGAAAAGUUUAUUCUGCAGCAAAUACUAGUGCAAAUAAUCGGUGGAAGAAAAACUCCGGCAUCUUUGUACGAACAUCUUCAGCAACAGACAAGGAUUGUUGCUGCCGUGGCUUGUCAAUCGAGAAUUAUCCCGUAACCAGGUUUGUUUCAAAUGUUUCAAACCAUUAAAUCAACAUUAGUAAAAGCAAUUAAAGUUUUGCGGAUGCAUUGCAAAACGUAAAUAACUUCAAACGAAAUGUUUAUUCUGCAGCAAAUACUAGUGCAAAUAAUCGGUGGAAGAAAAACUCCGGCAUCUUUGUACGAACAUCUUCAGCAACAGACAAGGAUUGUUGCUGCCGUGGCUUGUCAAUCGAGAAUUAUCCCGUAACCAGGUUUUCUCCCCCAGCUGAGGCAUGCAGAAGUGAUAUUUCAGUAUUUAGUCGGUGUAAGUGUUCGUUCCAGUCUUGAUAUUUCAAUUAAAGUGAUUACAGAAAAAUGUUGGCAAAUCAUUG